GUGGUAAUGCCGGAUGUUCCACAUGAUCGCAUGUGAUUGUGGGAAAGAUUCUAUCGGCGUGGGAUGGGGUCGCGUCCUAUCAGCUUGUUGGUGAGGUAACGGCUCACCAAGGCUUCGACGGGUAGCCGGCCUAAGAGGGCGACCGGCCACAUUGGGACUGAGAUACGGCCCAGACUCCUACGGGAGGCAGCAGUGGGGAAUAUUGCACAAUGGGCGCAAGCCUGAUGCAGCGACGCCGCGUGAGGGAUGGAGGCCUUCGGGUUGUAAACCUCUUUUGUUUGGGAGCAAGCCUUCGGGUGAGUGUACCUUUCGAAUAAGCGCCGGCUAACUACGUGCCAGCAGCCGCGGUAAUACGUAGGGCGCAAGCGUUAUCCGGAUUUAUUGGGCGUAAAGGGCUCGUAGGCGGCUCGUCGCGUCCGGUGUGAAAGUCCAUCGCUUAACGGUGGAUCUGCGCCGGGUACGGGCGGGCUGGAGUGCGGUAGGGGAGACUGGAAUUCCCGGUGUAACGGUGGAAUGUGUAGAUAUCGAAAAAAAAA
RNAcentral lists this ribosomal RNA (536 nucleotides) under Bifidobacterium bifidum. RNAcentral describes it as "bacterial SSU rRNA". It matches the Rfam family "Bacterial small subunit ribosomal RNA", at positions 160 to 708 of the family's 1533-position model. The record is from RNAcentral. Lineage: Bacteria; Bacillati; Actinomycetota; Actinomycetes; Bifidobacteriales; Bifidobacteriaceae.